Molecule: long non-coding RNA, 1976 nt
Organism: Passer domesticus (house sparrow)
Lineage: Eukaryota; Metazoa; Chordata; Aves; Passeriformes; Passeridae
Exons: 3
Source: RefSeq, a predicted model, not a curated record
GGGAUGUGACAGGUCUGCUCUCUCUUCUGCAGCUGUCUGAGCGCAGCACCAGGGUGCAGGCGGAGGGGGCUGUGAAAACUCCUGUGAGUUGGCUGAUACUGUGGGCAGGGAAGGCGUGUGACCGAGUGAGGAGAGCUGUGUCCAAGCCUCCUAGGUACUAAUCCUCACUCAUCACUCCUCUUGGAGCACCAGUUCACAGUCUCAUAGUUCUUGCAGAGGCAGAUGUUCCUCAUGUCCUCCAACUGGGGCUCUCACCACUGGACAUUCAUCUUGUCACAAGAGCCCUUGUGCCAUGCUCUGUGGUUGCCCUCUGGUGCUGCUCUUGGCCUCAUCCUUUGCUUUCUGCCCCUCAUGCUCUGUUUCAGGAUGUACCAUCAGCCUUUUGCAGUCAGAGAAUGAUGAUGGCCCUGCCCUGGCUGGAGAUGGGUUCUGGCUGCUGGAGCAAGAGUGAAAUUUUGAAGAAAUUCCUCCUAUGUCCAGCCUAGGAGGAGAGAAGAGACCAACCCUCACCUGGCCACAGCCUUCUUUCAGACAAAAUGGAGAACUCUCUGCCCUGUACAUAAGGAUGGAGAAGCACACAGAGCAGGUUACAGAUCUCUCCUGGGCAGACUGAGCAGAAGGGGAGCACUGCCCCACCACAGCUGGCAGACAUGAUGCAGGGAAGACACCUCACGUGCCAUAACAGAGAGGAGAUCCAAGGGGCACUCACUGCUUGAGGAAUACAGUGUGGAUCCAAUUGCCACUCCGAGUGCUGCAAAUGCCAGUGACAUCCUGUACAGGGAGAUGUCUGGCUUAAGCUCCAGCAGAAAUGAGAACAGAAGUCCUUACCUGAGCAGAAAGAGGAGCUUUUUCAAUAGGAUUUGUAUGGGUGUUUCUUUUUCAAAUUCCCAGAUCAUUUGGGGUGGGCAGUGCAUCCACAGGUCUGGGCUGCUGCUGUCACUGGAAGGAAAGUGGAGGUGGCUCCUGACAGUUCUGCUCCAUUUUUGUAUCACCCCCAUCUCCCCUGAAACAGUUGCUCUGUCUCCCAGAAGCAGUUCUUCUAGUGACAAAACAUCUCCCGACCUGGCUUCAGCUCUUUUUCCCCCUCCACAUACACACAGGUUGUUUGAAGUUACUUCACAGGGUUGGGUGCGGAGCAUGAGGAUGAGGAGAUGUCUGAUUCAUGCCGUAGCAGUACCUCCUCUGCAAAGGGCAGCAAGGCUGUUUGGGUAGCUGGGACAUCAACCUUUGAGCCCCCAGUUUCUGCUACAGGUGUCUGGAGCCCCAGGAGACAGUCACUUGGCACAUGGACCACCUCUUCCACCAUCCUCAGCCCCAAGGCUGAGAUGGGAAUCCAUCCCAUCCUAGAUCAUGUGGAGCCUCAGUCAGAUGAGAGUUCACCUCUGCCAGUCUGUGAAGGUCUGGGAGAGGAAUUGUGGUGAGUAAUUUUGGCCUUGCUCCUGUGGCAGCACCUGUGGUUGCCCUUAUGAGACAGAUUCCAUGAGUCUGACUGCAGUGCAGAAAGGGGAGAAGAGAGGGGUCACCCUUCAAUAGUAGCACCUGUUCUGCAGCCCCAGAGAGAGCUCAGGCUUGGGCAGGGAGUCACCUUCCCAUCAUCAGAGGGACAUCCCCUCCACACAGUGCCUCCAACUCACCCUACUGGGAAUAUGGCACUCGGUGGCCCAUUAGUGCCUGGUGUCAGUGCCCCCAAACCUUGCUUGUCCAGCUCUGUUCAGUGUCCAAAACCUCUCAGACAAGGAAGCCGCCUCAUCUAAGGAAGAGCAGACCCAGAGAUGGUGCUUCACGUAAAUAGCCCCUCAAAGCACUUCUAAGUGACUAAUCACCUUCUCCAGGGGCUUCUCACCCAGCCCAGAGUCUCUGUUCAGCCAGAGGGCAUCAGCUGCUGUAAUUAUUCAGAAUCAUCAAUCCCACACAAAAGAGCUCACUUCCCAAAGAGAGCCCUUCCUGUGCAGUAAAGGCACUCACAGGCGGGUGAA